GAUGAACGCUAGCGACAGGCCUAACACAUGCAAGUCGAGGGGCAGCACAAGGAGCAAUCUGAGGUGGCGACCGGCGCACGGGUGAGUAACACGUAUGCAACCUGCCUUCAACAAGGGGAUAACCCGUUGAAAGACGGACUAAUACCCUAUAAUACAGGGGCCCCGCAUGGGGAUAUUUGUUAAAGAUUUAUCGGUUGAAGAUGGGCAUGCGUUCCAUUAGCUGGUUGGUGGGGUAACGGCCCACCAAGGCAACGAUGGAUAGGGGAACUGAGAGGUUUAUCCCCCACACUGGUACUGAGACACGGACCAGACUCCUACGGGAGGCAGCAGUGAGGAAUAUUGGUCAAUGGACGCAAGUCUGAACCAGCCACGUCGCGUGAAGGAAGACGGCCCUACGGGUUGUAAACUUCUUUUAUACGGGAAUAAAGUGCCCCACGCGUGGGGUUUUGCAUGUACCGUAUGAAUAAGGAUCGGCUAACUCCGUGCCAGCAGCCGCGGUAA
This 501-nucleotide ribosomal RNA is filed under the name uncultured bacterium. RNAcentral describes it as "bacterial SSU rRNA". It matches the Rfam family "Bacterial small subunit ribosomal RNA", at positions 28 to 523 of the family's 1533-position model. The record is from RNAcentral.